AUUGAACGCUGGCGGCAGGCCUAACACAUGCAAGUCGAGCGGAGCGGCGGACGGGUGAGUAAUGCCUAGGAAUCUGACUGGUAGUGGGGGAUAAAGUCCGGAAACGGGAGCUAAUACCGCAUACUAUCAGAUGAGCCUAGGUCGGAUUAGCUAGGUGGUGGGGUAAAGGCCUAACAAGGAGACGAUCCGUAACUGGUCUGAGAGGAUGAUCAGUCACACUGGAACUGAGACACGGUCCAGACUCCGACGCGAGGCAGCAGUGGGGAAGAUUGGACAAUGGGCGAAAUCCUGAUGCAGCCAUGCCGCGUGUGUGAAGAAGGUCUUCGUAUUGUAAAGCACUUUAAGUUGGGAGGCGUUACCAUCAGAAUAAGCACCGGCUAACUUCGUGCCAGCAGCCGCGGUAAUUC
RNAcentral lists this ribosomal RNA (407 nucleotides) under uncultured bacterium. RNAcentral's name for it is "partial 16S ribosomal RNA". It matches the Rfam family "Bacterial small subunit ribosomal RNA", at positions 30 to 526 of the family's 1533-position model. The record is from RNAcentral.